AUCCUUCGGGAUUAGUGGCAGACGGGUGAGUAACGCGUGGGAAGCUACCUUGUGGUAGGGAACAACAGUUGGAAACGACUGCUAAUACCCUAUGAGCCCUAUGGGGGAAAGAUUUAUCGCCAUGAGAUGUGCCCGCGUUAGAUUAGCUAGUUGGUAAGGUAAUGGCUUACCAAGGCGACGAUCUAUAGCUGGUCUGAGAGGAUGAUCAGCCACACUGGGACUGAGACACGGCCCAGACUCCUACGGGAGGCAGCAGUGGGGAAUAUUGGACAAUGGGGGCAACCCUGAUCCAGCCAUGCCGCGUGAGUGAUGACGGCCUUAGGGUUGUAAAGCUCUUUCAGCAGUGAAGAUAAUGACAUUAACUGCAGAAGAAGCCCCGGCUAACUUCGUGCCAGCAGCCGCGGUAAUACGAAGGGGGCUAGCGUUGUUCGGAAUCACUGGGCGUAAAGCGUACGUAGGCGGACUGAUCAGUCAGGGGUGAAAUCCCGGGGCUCAACCCCGGAACUGCCUUUGAUACUGUCAGUCUUGAGAUCGAGAGAGGUGAGUGGAACUCCGAGUGUAGAGGUGAAAUUCGUAGAUAUUCGGAAGAACACCAGUGGCGAAGGCGGCUCACUGGCUCGAUACUGACGCUGAGGUACGA
Molecule: ribosomal RNA, 640 nt
Filed under: Pseudovibrio sp.
Lineage: Bacteria; Pseudomonadati; Pseudomonadota; Alphaproteobacteria; Hyphomicrobiales; Stappiaceae
Description: bacterial SSU rRNA
Rfam family: Bacterial small subunit ribosomal RNA
Source: RNAcentral